This 69-nucleotide transfer RNA is filed under the name Bos taurus (domestic cattle). It matches the Rfam family "tRNA". From Rfam's summary of the family: Transfer RNA (tRNA) molecules are approximately 80 nucleotides in length. Their secondary structure includes four short double-helical elements and three loops (D, anti-codon, and T loops). Lineage: Eukaryota; Metazoa; Chordata; Mammalia; Artiodactyla; Bovidae. The record is from Rfam by way of RNAcentral. RNAcentral also lists the same sequence under 4 other names.
CCUGAUUUCUCAGUUGGUAAAGAAUCUGUCUGCAAUGCAGGAGGCCCUGGUUCGGUUCCUGGGUCAGGA